This 497-nucleotide ribosomal RNA is filed under the name uncultured bacterium. Its description in RNAcentral is "partial 16S ribosomal RNA". It matches the Rfam family "Bacterial small subunit ribosomal RNA", at positions 28 to 507 of the family's 1533-position model. The record is from RNAcentral.
GAUGAACGCUGGCGGCGUGCCUAAUACAUGCCAGUCGAGCGAACAGACGAGGAGCUUGCUCCUCUGACGUUAGCGGCGGACGGGUGAGUAACACGUGGAUAACCUACCUAUAAGACUGGGAUAACUUCGGGAAACCGGAGCUAAUACCGGAUAAUAUAUUGAACCGCAUGGUUCAAUAGUGAAAGACGGUUUUGCUGUCACUUAUAGAUGGAUCCGCGCCGCAUUAGCUAGUUGGUAAGGUAACGGCUUACCAAGGCAACGAUGCGUAGCCGACCUGAGAGGGUGAUCGGCCACACUGGAACUGAGACACGGUCCAGACUCCUACGGGAGGCAGCAGUAGGGAAUCUUCCGCAAUGGGCGAAAGCCUGACGGAGCAACGCCGCGUAAGUGAUGAAGGUCUUCGGAUCGUAAAACUCUGUUAUUAGGGAAGAACAAAUGUGUAAGUAACUAUGCACGUCUUGACGGUACCUAAUCAGAAAGCCACGGCUAACUACGUG